UGAGUAAUGUCUGGGAAACUGCCUGAUGGAGGGGGAUAACUACUGGAAACGGUAGCUAAUACCGCAUAACGUCGCAAGACCAAAGAGGGGGACCUUCGGGCCUCUUGCCAUCAGAUGUGCCCAGAUGGGAUUAGCUAGUAGGUGGGGUAAUGGCUCACCUAGGCGACGAUCCCUAGCUGGUCUGAGAGGAUGACCAGCCACACUGGAACUGAGACACGGUCCAGACUCCUACGGGAGGCAGCAGUGGGGAAUAUUGCACAAUGGGCGCAAGCCUGAUGCAGCCAUGCCGCGUGUGUGAAGAAGGCCUUCGGGUUGUAAAGCACUUUCAGCGAGGAGGAAGGUGGUGAGCUUAAUACGCUCAUCAAUUGACGUUACUCGCAGAAGAAGCACCGGCUAACUCCGUGCCAGCAGCCGCGGUAAUACGGAGGGUGCAAGCGUUAAUCGGAAUUACUGGGCGUAAAGCGCACGCGGGCGGUUUGUUAAGUCAGAUGUGAAAUCCCCGGG
This 504-nucleotide ribosomal RNA is filed under the name uncultured bacterium. Its description in RNAcentral is "bacterial SSU rRNA". It matches the Rfam family "Bacterial small subunit ribosomal RNA", at positions 107 to 607 of the family's 1533-position model. The record is from RNAcentral.